UGCGCAGGCGGUCGUGCAAGACAGGUGUGAAAUCCCCGGGCUUAACCUGGGAACUGCACUUGUGACUGCACGGCUGGAGUACGGCAGAGGGGGAUGGAAUUCCGCGUGUAGCAGUGAAAUGCGUAGAUAUGCGGAGGAACACCGAUGGCGAAGGCAGUCCCCUGGGCCUGUACUGACGCUCAUGCACGAAAGCGUGGGGAGCAAACA
RNAcentral lists this ribosomal RNA (207 nucleotides) under uncultured bacterium. RNAcentral's name for it is "partial 16S ribosomal RNA". It matches the Rfam family "Bacterial small subunit ribosomal RNA", at positions 568 to 774 of the family's 1533-position model. The record is from RNAcentral.